GCUUACGACCAUAUCACGUCGAAAGCACCGGUUCUCGUCCGAUCACCGAAGUUAAGAGCAACGUCGAGCCUAGUGAGUACUUAGAUGGGUGACCGCUUGGGAAACCUAGGUGCUGUAAGCG
Molecule: ribosomal RNA, 121 nt
Filed under: Octopus bimaculoides (California two-spot octopus)
Lineage: Eukaryota; Metazoa; Mollusca; Cephalopoda; Octopoda; Octopodidae
Source: RNAcentral